This is a long non-coding RNA of Synchiropus splendidus (mandarinfish), 895 nucleotides long. RefSeq lists it as uncharacterized. The record is from RefSeq and is a predicted model, not a curated record. The transcript is spliced from 3 exons. NCBI's taxonomy places the organism in Eukaryota, Metazoa, Chordata, Actinopteri, Syngnathiformes, Callionymidae.
AAUAUGUUCACUGGAGGACGGACGCCAUGAGCCGCGGUGGCAUCAGCACCAGGCUGCAGGGAGAGGAAACUGCGCAGCUUCCUCUUUCCACUGCAUCUGUGGUGCAUUGGAGGCCGGGAGUAAAACAAGAUAACGGAGGACUUCAGCAGAUGGUCUGAGUGGAGACUGUGCUAGGGACAGAUUGAGGUUAAGCUGCAGUUCAGACAAGACAAGAGUCUGUCGGUCAGUUCUCCGGGCCAAACCACGUGCAGAAACGAGUCAGCAACUUCACAAGAUCAGCGUUUACGCCAGGAUUUCUGGAAACCGAGGCAGAGCCCGACCAAUUCAAGGGAAACCAAGGAAGUAGAUGGAGAAGUUUUGAGAUUUGUUGAAUGGGGUUAAAAACACCCCAAAAACCACCAUAAUCCUGUCCACCUCCAUGUGGUGUUAAGAGAUUCUGAAACCUUGAAGAUGAACGUUGUCCUGAGUAAUUCAAACCAGAACAGCCACCUGUAGCUUUCCAGGUUCAUGUCAGUUAAAAGGUGACAAUCGCCGACCAGAAAUCAGCCACAGACGUUACGGCCAGUUGCGUAAAAUACAGAGAAGGAAAAGCGUAACAGCAACAGGGUCCUGGAAUGUCAUGGUUGCUUGAUGCAUGUGGGGAGUGAAUGCUGGCCUGUGUAGUCGGGGCCAACACACCAGCCACUGUAGUUCACAAGUCAAUGCUGGUCCCAGCAGAAACUGGCCAGAAAAGUGUAUUAUUGCAGGUUUCAUUUCCAGGAAACGCUGACUAAUCUGGCUCAGGAAUGGAAAGUAGUUCCACCUCAGAGACAACAAAGUGUUGCGCUAUUACUGUCUUUAAUUGAAGAAAAUUCUAGUUCACUUUAGUUUUCAACUAAACCUGAUUCAGCUGAAU